CCUACGGGAGGCAGCAGUGAGGAAUAUUGGUCAAUGGGCGCGAGCCUGAACCAGCCAAGUCGCGUGAGGGAAGACGGUCCUAUGGAUUGUAAACCUCUUUUGUCGGGGAGCAAAAGACGCCACGCGUGGCGUUCCGAGAGUACCCGAAGAAAAAGCAUCGGCUAACUCCGUGCCAGCAGCCGCGGUAAUACGGAGGAUGCGAGCGUUAUCCGGAUUUAUUGGGUUUAAAGGGUGCGUAGGCGGGCUUGCAAGUCAGACGUGAAAACCACAGGCUCAACCUGUGGACUGCGUUUGAAACUGGGAGGCUUGAGUAAAGUAGAGGUAGGCGGAAUUCCCGGUGUAGCGGUGAAAUGCGUAGAGAUCGGUAAGAACACCGAUGGCGAAGGCAGCCUACUGGGCUUUAACUGACGCUGAGGCACGAAAGCAUGGGUAGCAAACAGGAUUAGAUACCCUUGUAGUC
This 460-nucleotide ribosomal RNA is filed under the name uncultured bacterium. RNAcentral describes it as "partial 16S ribosomal RNA". It matches the Rfam family "Bacterial small subunit ribosomal RNA", at positions 338 to 795 of the family's 1533-position model. The record is from RNAcentral.